Molecule: long non-coding RNA, 727 nt
Organism: Nilaparvata lugens (brown planthopper)
Lineage: Eukaryota; Metazoa; Arthropoda; Insecta; Hemiptera; Delphacidae
Exons: 2
Source: RefSeq, a predicted model, not a curated record
UUAAUUCCGUAAUUUGAAUAAUUAUUAUCGAAUUUUGUCUGUUUAUGAUUCAUAAAAGAUUUAUACUUUUGUAUUUUGUUUUGCAAGUUGGCAAAACUGCUGUUGAACAGCUGGACUGUUACUCUGUAUUCUAGACUGAAGGCUUCAUCAGUCGUCACUCACUACUACUUUUGGAUUUUGGCUUGGUCUGACUCAAAAACUUGAGAAAUGGUUUCUGCAUAUCGUUCAGUAUAUCUUCCAAUAUGAAUUAAUUUUGCCAAAAUAGGCUUAGGCCUUCUUCACUUUAUGUUUUGAUUGAGUCUUGUUUUUAAACCCAGAUGGGGUUUUUGAUUUAUGUUAAAUAUAAUUAUAUUGAAGAUGUCGUGAAACACUACCGGCUUGUACAAAAUAUCUAAUUACUGGACCAUGGAAUUUGAGUAACCUGGACUAAACAUCAUGAAGACACAACACUGUAUUGUAUCUACGACAUAUUUUUCUACUGAAUUCCAGUAAGCUGCAUCAUCAGAUUUCUACAUUCUCUUCAACUACAUAUUCUCUUCUCUUUGCAAAUUAAUAACUUGGAAAUUUUUCAUAAUGUCGAGGGAAAUAUAAAAGGGGUAGCGUUAUUUUCUAAAUUUAAAACUAUAUCAAUCUUUUGUAAUUCUGUACUUUGUAAUACUAUCUUAGUUUCUUCUCAAUUUUCAUAUUUGUUUCGAGGAAUAUAUAUUAUUUUCUUGACUCUCUCAAA